GACGGGUGGAGCGCAGAGAAGAGCGAAUGCCGGAAUGAGUAGCGUCAUGUCUGUAGGAAUCAGACACACCGCAAGCCUGAGGGUUCCUGGGCAACGUUGAUCGACCCAGGGUUAGUCGGGUCCUAAGCCGAGGACAUUACGUCGUAGGCGAUGGCAAGCAGGGCGGAUGCUCCUGCACCAGAGCGCAUCGUUAUCGAGCGAAGGGGGGACGCGGUAGGGAACAUGAACCCAGCAAAUGGACAGGCUGGGCUGCCCGCACGAAGUGCGCGCGCCAGGAAAAUCCGGCGCGCACGAGCAUGACGACGGGCACGAGCUGGCGCAAGCUGGCGGAAGUCAUGGCCUCCCAGGCCGCCCAGAAAAGCCUCUAGCCAGAUGUGGCUCUGCCCGUACCGCAAACCGACACCGGUAGGCCGGGGGACGACCCCCAAGGUGAGCGAGCGAACCUCUGUCAAGGAACUCGGCAAAUUGACCCCGUACCUUUGGAAGAAGGGGGACCCUGGUAGCCGUUCUCUCUUGCGAGAGAGGGGUGAGCGGGUCGCAGGAAAAGGGCUCAAGCGACUGUUUACC
Molecule: ribosomal RNA, 567 nt
Filed under: Chloroflexota bacterium
Lineage: Bacteria; Bacillati; Chloroflexota
Description: Chloroflexi bacterium partial 23S ribosomal RNA
Rfam family: Bacterial large subunit ribosomal RNA
Source: RNAcentral